CACGCCCAUGUGCAGUUAACAGGCGAUCUAAAUUAGCACAUGGGCAUGCGCUAGCUUGUCUCUAACUAUUCACAACUUUUAGGGUGUGGAGUACAUUGUUCGCCUUUUAAACUGAAACUAUCUGAAAUCAAAGCAGGCACAUUCUGGUCUGCCGCAGUUUUUGCCAAAUCGGUUUGACGUGUCUGUGAAGGAGAAAUGAAGGACCGUGUUGCACAACUUUUGAACUCGUUUAACCCUUCUGUUGUUGCAGCGUUUUAUUUGUCAGUUUGUUUUUCUGUCGCAACACUGAGGAUCUAAACAACCCCACAGAGUACAGCCCAACAGACAGGAAGCAGGAAUGAUCGCCAACACUGAGGUCACAAGCGAGCCUAACCCAAAGACCAAGGCCCUCUCUACAGUCGGCAAAGCUCCUUCCUCAGAGUCACAGGAAGCAGACUCCACACAGAACGCUGGUGUGUUCAGAGGGGUCAUGCAAAACGUCAACCCAUUCAAGUCUACCCACCAGGUCUUUAAAGCUGCAUCUUCAGAGUCACUGGAACAGGGACGGGUUUCAGACACUAAUCAGAACCCGGGUAUGUUAAAAGGUGUGAUGCAGAAAGUCAACCCGUUCAAGCCUUCAGCACAGGUGCUAAAGAGCGAGCCUCAAAAUGAUGCUGCCGAUCCACCAGAGAAGGGAAAAGAACUUCAAGGCAAACAGAAUCCAUCGAUGAUUGCAGCAAUGAUACAGAAAGUCAACCCAUUCAAAUCCUCACAGCCACAGCAUAAGCAGCCUCUACACACUGACCUUUCCUCCAGCACUGGAAGCUUAGCAGACAGUAACAGCGUGCCAGAGAAGCAGGUAGAUCUGUGCAAUUGAGCAGACCCCAUGAAGCCUUUUCCUAGCUGAUCAUGUAGGUGUUAAGCAUAAAGUAACAUGUUAACAUUUUAUGCAUGUCAACUACCUAAUAUGUAGUCUUUAAAGCAAGAGUUUG
This 971-nucleotide long non-coding RNA is filed under the name Sander lucioperca (pikeperch). RNAcentral describes it as "lncRNA (ENSSLUG00000001925.1)". Lineage: Eukaryota; Metazoa; Chordata; Actinopteri; Perciformes; Percidae. The record is from RNAcentral.